GCCUACGGCCAUGCUACCAUGAACAAGCCCUAUCCUGUCUGAUCUCAUAAGCUGAGCAGGGUCAGGUCUGGUUAGUACUUGGAUGAAAGACCACCCAGGAAGUCCGGGUGCUGUAGGCA
Ribosomal RNA from Pteropus vampyrus (large flying fox), 119 nucleotides. NCBI's taxonomy places the organism in Eukaryota, Metazoa, Chordata, Mammalia, Chiroptera, Pteropodidae. The record is from Ensembl.